Molecule: ribosomal RNA, 804 nt
Filed under: Globigerinita uvula
Lineage: Eukaryota; Foraminifera; Rotaliida; Globigerinitidae
Description: bacterial SSU rRNA
Rfam family: Eukaryotic small subunit ribosomal RNA (bases 19-518)
Source: RNAcentral
GGCACCACAAGAACGCGUGGAGCAUGUGGCUUAAUUUGACUCAACGCGGGAAAUCUUACCGGGUCCGGACACACUGAGGAUUGACAGGCAAUAUAUGUGACUCUUCGGAGUUUGCAUUGUUAAAUAUGCUAGUCCUUUCAUGAUUAUGUGAUAGGUGGUGCAUGGCCGUUCUUAGUUCGUGGAGUGAUCUGUCUGCUUAAUUGCGUUUCAAAUUACUUAUAAGGUAGCAAUACGCGAUGAAGCUUUCAAUAGUCUCUCACGAGAUUCACUUGAGUCUCUCGCUUCGCUAUCCUUUCGAAUGCAACGAACGUGACCGCAACCUCUUGUUGCCUUCGUUUAACAUCCUGCAGCUCGCUGUGGGUACUGAGGGCUUCACUCGGUGACUUUGGGCUGAGCAAUCGGUCUCUUUUGAUCUGAGUAAACUAGAGGGACCGCUGUCAACUUCUUAAACCAGAGGAAGGUUGCGGCAAUAACAGGUCUGUGAUGCCCUUAGAUGUUCCGGGCUGCACACGUGCUACAAUGAUCGUAGCAGUGAGCAUCUUAUUUGAUUUACUUAACACCGCAUACGUGAGUACCAACUAGCUUAGCAAUAAGUCAAGUAGUUCUCUACGCAGCGGUAACAGCCUGCUUCGAGAGCAAGUGGGUAAUCAAUUAGAAGUAACGAUUUCUUCGCAUUAGCACACUUAAUAUAAGGCGUUGACGCUCAUGAUUCGCUCUCACGAGUGUUUCAUUGCACGUGUUGAUGUGCGGGUUCGAUUCCUGCUUUACCUUAUGUGCAAUUGUCAAUUCAUGGUGGGGACAGAC